UUUAUGGGGUGACUGCGUACCUUUUGUAUAAUGGGUCAGCGACUUAUAUUUUGUAGCAAGGUUAACCGAAUAGGGGAGCCGUAGGGAAACCGAGUCUUAACUGGGCGUCAAGUUGCAAGGUAUAGACCCGAAACCCGGUGAUCUAGCCAUGGGCAGGUUGAAGGUUGGGUAACACUAACUGGAGGACCGAACCGACUAAUGUUGAAAAAUUAGCGGAUGACUUGUGGCUGGGGGUGAAAGGCCAAUCAAACCGGGAGAUAGCUGGUUCUCCCCGAAAGCUAUUUAGGUAGCGCCUCGUGAACUCAUCUUCGGGGGUAGAGCACUGUUUCGACUAGGGGGUCAUCCCGACUUACCAACUCGAUGCAAACUACGAAUACCGAAGAAUGUUAUCACGGGAGACACACGGCGGGUGCUAACGUCCGUCGUGAAGAGGGAAACAACCCAGACCGCCAGCUAAGGUCCCAAAGUCAUAGUUAAGUGGGAAACGAUGUGGGAAGGCAUAGACAGCCAGGAUGUUGGCUUAGAAGCAGCCAUCAUUUAAAGAAAGCGUAAUAGCUCACUGGUCGAGUCGGCCUGCGCGGAAGAUGUAACGGGGCUAAACUAUGCACCGAAGCUGCGGCAGCGACACUUAGGUGUUGUUGGGUAGGGGAGCGUUCUGUAAGCCUGUGAAGGUGACCUGUGAGGGUUGCUGGAGGUAUCAGAAGUGCGAAUGCUGACAUAAGUAACGAUAAAGCGGGUGAAAAACCCGCUCGCCGGAAGACCAAGGGUUCCUGUCCAACGUUAAUCGGGGCAGGGUGAGUCGACCCCUAAGGCGAGGCCGAAAGGCGUAGUCGAUGGGAAACAGGUUAAUAUUCCUGUACUCGGUGUUACUGCGAAGGGGGGACGGAGAAGGCUAGGCUAUCCGGGCGACGGUUGUCCCGGUUUAAGCGUGUAGGGGGUGUGACUUGGUAAAUCCGGUCGCAUACCAACCCUGAGGCGUGAUGACGAGUCACUACGGUGAUGAAGUAGUUGAUGCCAAGCUUCCAGGAAAAGCCUCUAAGCUCUAGGUAACAUUGAAUCGUACCCCAAACCGACACAGGUGGUCAGGUAGAGAAUACCAAGGCGCUUGAGAGAACUCGGGUGAAGGAACUAGGCAAAAUGGUGCCGUAACUUCGGGAGAAGGCACGCUGGCGCGUAGGUGAAG
RNAcentral lists this ribosomal RNA (1183 nucleotides) under Hafnia paralvei. RNAcentral's name for it is "bacterial LSU rRNA". It matches the Rfam family "Bacterial large subunit ribosomal RNA", at positions 585 to 1767 of the family's 2925-position model. Lineage: Bacteria; Pseudomonadati; Pseudomonadota; Gammaproteobacteria; Enterobacterales; Hafniaceae. The record is from RNAcentral.